UCCUGACCCCUCGUAGGGGAAGGCGGGUUCCCAGGGCACUUUUUAGGGUGGCUGUAUUCUGAUGUGCUAUGACUAUAACUUCGGCCCAGGGACCAAGCUGACGGUUGUAGAGUGUGCUGAGGCUGUUUCCCAGUGGACCCGCUUUGGUCCAGACAGGCAAAGGGGGCCACCCCACCUCGAGGAGCUAAGACGUGGGUGCUGGCGGAGGCCUCUGGGGUUUUGCCACAGCUGUCUGCAGCCGUGUUCCUAUAAUUCGCCCCUCCACUUCGGGCUGGGCACCAGGCUCACGGUGACAGAGGACCUGCAGCAGGUGAGACCACCCAAGGUGGCCGUGUUUGAACCAUCGGAAGCGGAGAUCUCCCGGACCCAGAAGGCCACCCUCGUGUGCCUGGCCACAGGCUUCUACCCCGACCACGUGGAGCUGAGCUGGUGGGUGAACGGGAAGCAGGUCCAGAGCGGGGUCAGCACGGACCUUCAGCCCUACAGGGAGGACCCCAGCCGCAAUGACUCCAGCUACUGUCUGAGCAGCCGGCUGAGGGUCACCGCCGCCUUCUGGCACAACCCCCGCAACCACUUCCGCUGCCAAGUCCAGUUCUAUGGGCUCACGGAGGACGACGAGUGGGAGUACAACUGGACCAAGCCCAUCACCCAGAACAUCAGUGCGGAGGCCUGGGGCAAAGCAGACUGUGGCUUCAGCUCGGCGUCCUAUCAGCAAGGGGUCCUGUCCGCCACCCUCCUCUAUGAGAUCCUGCUGGGGAAGGCCGCCCUGUACGCUGUGCUGGUCAGCGCCCUGGUGCUGAUGGCCACGGUCAAGAGAAAGGGUGCCUGAAGCCGGCUCUGACGUGGAGCCAGGAGCUUCCAGCCUGCUGUGGGCCUGGGGUGACUCUCCUCUUUCCAUUCCUCCCAGUGCUUCUGAGGAGCUGCUCCCAUCUCUCUCCUCAUCCUCGGCUCUCCCCCAUGGGAAGGCACCCCUGCCCACUCCUGACUGCCAUCUCCCUAGCCCAGGGGGGACCCCAGCCUGCCUGAGCUGACCCAACCAAUAAAAACAGCCUGUUCUGCCCGGA
Molecule: non-coding RNA, 1064 nt
Organism: Sus scrofa (pig)
Lineage: Eukaryota; Metazoa; Chordata; Mammalia; Artiodactyla; Suidae
Source: the annotation of a RefSeq genome assembly